GUUUAGCUGAGAAAAGACAUUUUCUCAGGAAGCGCGAAAGAAUCUUGAAGAGGAACUGGAGGACACCAGCAGUUCUUGGAGAGAGGCUGAGCAGAGAGCGUGACACUGAUGAUGAGCUGGGAUUGCCUGUCCCACCCUGUCCCCUUCCAGGCAGCGUGUCUCAGCCAAGUGCUGUGCUCAGGGAGCUUCCAGAGAGCCACAGCUGUUAUACUUAGGAGAUGCUUACACUACAGAGGGAUCCUCACAGGGAACAAAGGUGACUCUGUCUGAUGCUGUCCAGAAACCAGGCAAAGCGUCACUUCUGUUCCCAAGGAGUCUAUUGCAUGCCCACCAUGUGCUUCACGUGCAUUCAGAGGAUUGGCCCAUUGUUUCUUCAUUCAAGGGUGACUGGCACAGGCUGCCCAGAAAAGCUGCAGUGUCUUUGUCCUUCAAAACCCGACCAGAUACAUCCCUGAUCAACCUGCCCCAGCUGACCUUGCUCGGAGCUGGGAAUUUGGACCAGAAGAUCUCCAAAGAUCCCAUCCAUCCUCAAUCUUUGGGUGGUUCUAAGAGUAAGGAGAGCGGAGUACAGGUUUCUUUUGCACUGAGAAAUCCCGUCCUUUUCACUGAUGGCAUAUGAUGACAGAGAACAGUCUGUUCUGGAGUAGAUUCUGUGGAAGUCUGGAUGAAACAACUUCUAGAGUAACUUACUUGCUGGAAAAUAUGAUUUCAAGUGACUCCUGCCUUUCAAGUUUGAUAGGAUUGAUUCUGUGAGAACGCCUGGCUUCAUUUAUGUAAUUAUCUUCAUUAAUGCCAAGAAGAUUCAAUUUUGAUUAACUGUGGAAGAGGCAGAUAUUUUGUAUCAGUCUGACUACAUCAGGAGUUAAAGAAAUGUCUGAGUUGGAAUUCAGAUAACCAAGUGUUCUGGAGCAAGACAAAAACAACUACACAAUAGAUGCAGUCUUGUCUAAAACAAAACAAAUAAAUAACAAACCCCUGAUAAUA
Molecule: long non-coding RNA, 984 nt
Organism: Gallus gallus (chicken)
Lineage: Eukaryota; Metazoa; Chordata; Aves; Galliformes; Phasianidae
Exons: 8
Source: RefSeq, a predicted model, not a curated record